Long non-coding RNA from Acanthopagrus latus (yellowfin seabream), 6657 nucleotides. RefSeq lists it as uncharacterized. NCBI's taxonomy places the organism in Eukaryota, Metazoa, Chordata, Actinopteri, Spariformes, Sparidae. The transcript has 2 exons. The record is from RefSeq and is a predicted model, not a curated record.
UUGUCAGCCCUCCACGUGGAGGUCUGACCACUCUGCGAUGAACAAGGCUAUUCUUAUUAAGACAACAAAAGGCAAGUGAGGAUGUGACAGGAGGAAGAUUCCAGUGCUCUCUACAGUGUGCAGACUUCACUACAGACCCUCCAGGCUGAGGCAAAAAAAAAAAAAAAAAAAAGAUCGCUGCGAUUCAAAGAACAGGACUCUACUUUGAGAGAGGCCAACCAAAUGAGAAUCUGGGCCUUGGGUCCCCCUUGGGUCAGCUAGCAGGUGGGAAUGAGAUGAAGCAGAGCGGGAACAAGGAGGAAAAAAAAGAAGAAGAAAAAAAAGAAACAGGAUGGCAGAGUGAGAACGUCACAUCUGGGCUGAAUUAGGAAAGUAAUACGGCGGGCCCAGAAAAAGUGUUUGAGGAUCUGGGAGGCAGAUCUCCUUUCCUUAGGAACAGCAGCUCUCCAAGGCAGGAGCAGGAAUCCCAAAUUAUCCAGGGGGUUAGGGGGCGCAGUGCCCCUGAGCCCCGAGCCCCAUAGCGGAGGUAACGUAUUCAAUGGCCUGGGGCGAGUGGAGGAGAGGAGCGGCCCUGCUGCAUACUGAUGGCAGGGAGAGAAGCCAGUAAUUGGAGCUGCAGAGGAGAGGGGAGAGGAGGGCAAGCACUGGGAGAUGAUGGCUUUGUUUUCUCUCUUCCUGUCUGUGCCGCUCAAAACUCCUCCCCCCGCAGACCUCUCUCUCCCUCACACUCACUAAGUAGAGAUAUGGAGAAAUUGAAUAGAGAUACUUGCUAAUUGGUCUCUUGCUGCUUGCUUAAAGGACCAUAGACAUUCUUUUUCAUUUGCCUAUUGAAACUAAUAAACUAUGUCUGUCUGCGUUUGUAACGCCUGUGUGAGUGUGGUAAAUCAAGGAUUACAUGAAGCACUGUGUGGCUCUGAUGGAGAAAAAGGAAGAAGGUGUGAAGGACUGUUAUUACAGCGGGUUUUAAGAAUGGUCGUGGUCGAAUCUGCUCACUUAAAUGAGCAUGUCCUUUAACAAAGCCACGCGCAUAAUACCAUACCAUAGAGCUCGACUGGAUCAUUCGCCGCUUUAUUUCUCUUGGCGUGAAACGUAUGUGUUAUGUCCACGGAAGCCAAUUUAAAACCAGUGCCGGCUAAUAUGAAGUAAAUUGGUCAAUACUAUUUUAAUCAGAGCACAUCAUGGUUAAUUAGGAAAAUUACUUUGACAAACGGUUUUGAAGCUGGUGCGCGAGCUCAAGCCAACUCUGCAAUCAGGCUCAUUCCUCACGGUGGUGCUCCCUCACGUGGGGUAAGGAACGCUGGGAGAGGGCCGUUGCAUACAUUACACACCAUCACCAUCACCAUCAAACCAGCCAGGAGAAAGAGGAGGUGUGGAGAUGAAUCCGUCGCCUAAAUACUUCCAAAACUGGCACAUUAUCCACACGACGUCCUCUGUUGACACAGUUAAAUGGUAUGAAACAUACUGGAUGCAAGAUGCAAGAAAAGGAGCUCGCGGUGGCGUGUUUCAAGCCAUCGCCGUCGGCCGGUCUGCCCUUAACAGGUUGCAGCCCCGCAGGUCACGAGAAGGACAUAAGCAAGUGGAGCUUUCAUUUCCUGUCAAAGAGGAGCGGAGAGAUGCUUUCCGAGGCAUCAGUCGCGGGCUAAUUGGGCCCCGGUGGGUGACACUGCAGUAUCAUAAAUAAAACAAACACAGUUGUGGUGUUUCUGCCACUGGACUCUUUAAACCUUCAUCACAGAGCAAGCGGUUCCGAUGAAACACCCAGCCUAAUUACUGUGGUACGGGGCUGUUAUCUGUUCUGCCUCGCCGUAAUUGAUCCUCUUUUUUUUCCGCGCGCAUUUAUGUUUUUAAUCAGAAAUGAGAGCAUGCAAUGCCUGAGAGCUUCAAGACCUUGUAGGAGCCGAUAAUUAGCCGCUCUGGUUAAUGGGCCUAACCGUGCUCGCGUGCUACAUGACUCUCCGGUGUCAUAACGUGGCAGAGCUUGGAGGAGACGGUGCUCAGGGGUGAUACACAUGUGAUUAGUCUCCUCACUUCACCACAGCCCUCUUCACACCUUAGCUCUGCAGUCAGCGGCACCGCAUGCCUCUGGUGGAGAAAAUUACAUAUCCUGAACUGCACUCGCUAAUCAAAUCGGCGCCGCGUGAACCCCUGACUGAUCCGUGACCAGUGCUAAGGUUUAAUCUGUGUUUUAAUUCUCUUGAAAGGGAAGGGAAAUACUGAGACACGCAAGUAGUGUCUGCGGAGUGAGACUUCAAGUGUAGCAGAUGAAAGUAGUGUGGCCUCUUUAAUACGCGCUGCAUUUGUGUGUUUGUAUAGCCGCAUGUAUGCUAAUUUGGAUAAAUAUACAACUUGCCCUUGGCCGUGAAUUGUAAAUCAGGCUAAUAAUAAUACACUUACAGUCUGCUGCUUCUUUUAAAUUCACACUGGAUCAAAAUACAUCAGCUCCCCCCGAUUGUCAUGUUGCGCAUUCCUCAUUCUGCUGGGUUUGCAGGAGAUUUCACUUUGUUAUUCAGCCAGUGGCUCCUUCCUUGGGACCAUAUAUCCAUAUUCAUUCAGAACCUAUAGAAUGUGUCAAAUAGAGGUGUCCUAAUUGUGUCCUUGAUGAAAGGCUAUUAAUAUUGAACACUUUCACAUUCACCCAUGUGCCAGCGCGGAGGAAAAUGUGUUUUCCCCUUCUUCCAGCGAGACAAAAAGCAGAUCUGUUCAUAUCUCUAAUGAUACCUGAUUCCCCGGGGGUUAGUGGCGAGACUAGCGGUGUGGCUUUAGCAGAUUCAUCAAACAAAAUACGGUGCUCUUUCCUCAGGAGGCUGAGAGUCACAUUGCGUUAUAUCACUGUUAAUUAGAAUGAAAUAUGCAGUUCAAUUAUUCUUUGUAUUGUUUCCUGACGCGUGUGCCCGUGCUAACUAUAGAGCGCUGAUGUAACGGCGAGUGUUAGAAAGCUAAAUACUUUAUUCUCCCACAGUUUACCCAUUUUUCCACAUAACAAAGGGAGCCCGUAACUACUCCACGCAGUUUGAAGGUUCUUGCAAGUCUCAUAAGCAGUACUGUCAUGAUUGCGGCAGUAGCCGGCCUGAUUGGCUGGGUGGCCGGGUGACUGCUCCCAUGUGACAUUGUUUUUGAGGCAGCCAGUAGCUGUCCUGUGGCCGGUGUCAGUACCCGGCAACCUCUGAUCCGGGAACAGCAACUGUCAGGCCUGCACCUGUAACACCGAGACCUUGUGCCUCCGCGCCAUCCACAACGAGGGGUUGCGCUCAGACAUGCUUUGCAUCUCGCCGGCACUCAUUGGCCCAAGCAAUACUCCCGAGACUGGGCAUGAUCCCAGCUGUUGUCUUCAUUUUAAUGCACUCUGAAUAAUAUUAAAGCAGAAUCAGUUGAAUUUAUUAAUGCAGCUUGCCCCUUAGAGAGAUGCUUUUAAAGGCCAAUGAUUUAAUUUUAGCUCUUAAAGGCCAUCCUCUAUUCUUGAUGCUAUAAAGAAUUAUGGCUUUUGCCAUGUGUUAACACCAGCGUGUACUCUGGGCCACAAAAUGAAUUAUUAGUAAACUGGAGCUGCUGAAAACAGCGGCUAUUAGCAGCCAUUUUUCUCUCUGUUGUUAUCGCGGACAUAUUCCCAGCCCCUAUUCCCAGAGACAACAUCAAUCCUGGUUAGCGUGAUUUAUAUCUUCUAUCAUUGGGAGAGACUAAAGCAAUGUGCCGUGAUGUUAGUUACAAUCUAGAACAAACAGCGAAAGCAGGUUACAGCAUCAUUUUAAAAGCUCCCCCGUGCAGCCGGCUCAGGUAGAUGCAGGCAAAUAAAUCGGUAAAGCUCCGUCACUUCUGUCAUUGAGAUUGUGUUUUCUGCUGUGUUGUCUGCUCUUUAUUGGUGUCAGGGGUCUGUCUGGAGGCAGACCAUAACCUCUGCACCUUUAAUUUAGGCCAGUUGGGACUUGGAGCGCAGCCACUGAUCUCGGUGACCUGCUUCUCAGGUGGUACAAGCAGACCGAAUAACACGUGCAUAAGAGCCUUAACACAUGUAAGACAGCCAUGAGUCGCACUUUUCUUACUUUGUCCUACUGUGCGCAUUAUGUCUCUCAGAGAAGAGGUCAGAGAACCUUAACGGCAUUGCACAUGUAACAAUUACUAAGGAGGUGCUGAGAGUAGUGGCUUAUUCAAAUGAGGAGGUUUUUUUUGUUUUUUUUUUUUGCUGCGACGCAUCUCCUUGUAAAGCAGCGCAGAACUGCAACAGAGAGAAAGGGUGCAGUGUUCUCUCUCUCUCUGCACUUGGUAGUUUGACGCCCGCUCCGGGGCUGAACAUCAGAGGAGCGGCUGCUGAAAAAACAGGUUGUAUGGGUCCUUGCACACAGCCUGCCUGUGGUGCUGCCUGAAGGACUGCCAUGGAAACAAGGAGUGUGACAGGCUCUGGGGGGAUCCGCCACAGCUGCAGGCACUUCCUUUUUGACAGCCUGAUGAAGACAUCACUGCCACACCAUGCACAACAACAACAACUACUGGAGAGAGAGAAAAAAAAAUGUGAUCAGACAAUGUUAACCGCUGUGUGGCUCAAAUGUUCAUUAGCAGGCUUGUAAAACAUCCAGGGAUUUUCCCCACUGCAUUGGGGGACCAUAUUGCACAGUGACUUCCUCUGCUGAGAUUCGCCGCCCUCCCAGGAGAAAAUACAUUGAUAAAUAAUUCCUUAAAUAUCAUCACACCUCUUUGAAGGGGGGGGGGCUUAAGUGUGUUUGUGCCUAUGAGUGCGUGGCAUGAGUGUGCACUGGCGCAUGGAGACCCGAAUCAACAAUUGUUGAAACCCUGUCAGACUCGCCUGUAUGAUCCGCUGACUGUGAAUGAUACGGGGAACAUCCAAGUCCACAACCUCGGUGCCACGGACUCAAAGAUUUGACAGCUUGGAGGCAGGCAACCGUGGUCCCACGUGACCUCUCCUAAUGUCACUGGCAGCAUUUGCCUCAAUAAUAUAUCUGACGCAUGACACAAUAUUAUUUGAACUUAAAAAUUGCUCUUUUCCAAACUUGUUUUUUUUUUAUGGGUUGAAUGUGGCUUUAUGUGCCCACUAAUUGUCGGCUCCUUACUUUUACCUAUUCUGUCACAGAUUUAGAUGUCCUGGCGCUGCAAUUUAGCUGUUUGCCGAAUGGCGAUUAAAAGUACCCCGAGACUAUUGCUUAAUUGGUUUCACCUCUUGGGGACACUUCAUCGGGUCUUGCCAGUGAUCUGCAUGUACCCUCCACCCCUCCCCUCCCCCAUCUCUGCACCCCCCCGGCACAGCCACCACCACCCCCCAGCCCCGAUGGAGCCAAGAAUGUAGGAGGGUUUCAGCCAGUGUGUGGGAUUUAGCUCGUCAGAAGCUCAGGGUCACCUCCACACCCUCUCACUUUGAAAUGGACCCCUGGUGGCAGCUCCUGGGAGAGCCCAGUGAUGUCUCUAUCAGCCUGUCAAAAGAGAUAGCCCGGGGCUCCACCGGGUCCCCCUGAGCCAAUCAAACUCUUCACAAAGCACAGAUGGAUGCUCUUUCACCAGCGUGCUACUGCUGAGGAGGGGGGCGCCCGGCCGUGAUGCUCAGUCCCCCAAUCAGUAAGAACAAACUCCCAUCGGUGGGGUCCAAGCCUCAGUUCAGCCCAACUUCAGUUCUAACUAUGUAUAUUUUAAAAGAGGACUUGCCAUGUGUCUACUAUCAGACAGAGAGCAGGUAAAGGAGGAAACUUUCUGUCUUUAGCCGCCUGUGAUGUAGACAGUCUCAUCUAUUGAAUCACUGCAGUAUUCAUAUUUUGAAGGAAACUGUCACAAAUGUUUUGAACAAUCAGAAUGGUGAAAGGUGUCAAUAAUUGAUAUUUUGAAUGCAAACUUAAUAUGGAGGAGAAAAUUGAUAGAGGUCAUACUACAUCGCUCUACUUGAAAAAAAAAAAAAAAAAAAAAACUAUUGUGGGAAGAUGGAAAAUGCAGCGUGUGUGUGUAGCCAUUAGAUAGGCCAGGUGAUUUUAGUGGAAAUGUAAAGCACUAAGUGCUGAGGAUGGAGAGAGCACUCUAUGUGAGAUGAGCUCUUUCUCUCUCAUCUGGACCCUGUUAUUGUGAGAAGGCAACAAAGCAAUGCAUUAGGAAGCACACUGGAGCCACACAGCUUUGAUGUGAGCUCGGUAACCAAGGCGCAGCGGUGGCCGGUGUGUGAGCUCUGUUCCAAUGGCUGUGUUGUGUAAUCAGAUGUGUUUACUGUGUAUUCAAGUAAAGAAGUGGUGUAAUCCAUCCUCACUAGAGUGCAGUUAUUGAAAAACACCCCGGCAAAAACAAGAGCUCAAACUGAUCAAGAUUCUUUAUUCAGGAUUCUCGCAAAUUCUCCAUUUGACGAUGCAGACACGAUACUGAGCACAAAUAAAACUCUGAAAUUAAUCAGUCUGAGAUACACUGACAUAGAAACUUUACUUAAAAAAAUGAAGUCAGCUGAAAAAUAAUACACAUAUAAAUAUAGAUUUGCCGCUGAGUUAAAAUUAAGAGAGCUGACAGCAUUAUAUUAUGUACAUUAAAUCCUAACCUCUGGCCAAACAUUUUAAAUGUGCAACAUAACAAAUAAUUUUGAUGAUUAUUUACAAAUCAAUUGUGAUUCCUAUGACCACAUUUAUAUUUAGAAAUUAGAAGAAAAAAAAAACAUUACCAUGAUUUGUUUUCCAUAAACUUUAG